Molecule: ribosomal RNA, 209 nt
Filed under: uncultured bacterium
Lineage: Bacteria
Description: partial 16S ribosomal RNA
Rfam family: Bacterial small subunit ribosomal RNA
Source: RNAcentral
CGCGUAGGCGGCCUUCUAAGUCGGACGUGAAAUCCCUCGGCUUAACCGAGGAACUGCGUCCGAUACUGAAAGGCUUGAAUCCGGGAGAGGGAUGUGGGAAUUCCAGGUGUAGCGGUGAAAUGCGUAGAUAUCUGGAGGAACACCGGUGGCGAAGGCGGCAUCCUGGACCGGCAUUGACGCUGAGGCGCGAAAGCUAGGGGAGCAAACGG